Eublepharis macularius is the source of this 868-nucleotide long non-coding RNA. RefSeq lists it as uncharacterized. Lineage: Eukaryota; Metazoa; Chordata; Lepidosauria; Squamata; Eublepharidae. The record is from RefSeq and is a predicted model, not a curated record. The transcript is spliced from 4 exons.
GGCGGCGAAGGGAGCGGGGCUAGGGUUAGUCAGCAGGGGCACGAAAACGCUGUACGCGCUGGCCAGAGGCGCUCUGGUUCCGCCUUUCUCUGCAUGCUUCAGGGCUGGCCUUGAAAACAAGUUCUAAGGCUCAAGGGAGCUCUGAGCCUCGAAAGCUCACACCCUGGAAAUCUCGGUGGUCUCUAAAAUGUCGCUGGACCCGAGUCUUGUUCUCCCACCCUACGGCGACCCCAGCUCUCCGUCCCCACGCUGCUCAGGUGAAGGAAGUCUGGCCGCCACCCACACGAAAGGCCAGACCCAGGAGGGCCCUUCUACAGUGAACAUUUUGUUGCCACCCCUGCGCUUUCGUCUGUAGCAGGCUGCUAAGUAAGAAGGGGCGCAGUUAAACAAGACUUCCCGAGCCCAGCCAUGAACUCUGCUUCAGAGUUGCUUUAGGCAAACGGCCCUCUCUGAAUUCCCAUCUACAAAAUGGUGACAAAAUCCCUGAUAAUAAUAGUACUUCAUAUUUGUGCAGCACUGUUCACCGGUUCAAAGAAAUAGACAUAAAUUCUUGCAAUCCUUGAAGCAAGCUGAAAGGCCCCACUCCAAUAAAGCUUCUGAAUUGGGCAUUUCCAUGGAGCAGGGAGACAGGAUCAAGGCUGCUGUCUCCAUAUCUCAGGAAGAAGGAGCCAAGGUGAAGAGGAUUCCACAGUCACUUGAGGUCUCCCAGGAAAUUCAGGAGCACCUUGUGAAACUCCUGAGGUUUAUCAAGAAGCUGAGAAGGAGAGGCUUCCCAAAGAUCACCUCAUAAAGCUCAUGCCCCAGAAAGGAUUAGAGCCAAGAACGUCCUUACCUGGAAUUUAGCCACUACGCUACACUACUACUCUCU